Long non-coding RNA from Acanthochromis polyacanthus (spiny chromis), 575 nucleotides. RefSeq lists it as uncharacterized. The transcript is spliced from 3 exons. Lineage: Eukaryota; Metazoa; Chordata; Actinopteri; Pomacentridae. The record is from RefSeq and is a predicted model, not a curated record.
AUUAUAUAUAUAUCAACUUUCAUUAUAUAUAUAUCAAAUCUUUUUUUCCUACCGAGCCCCGGAAGGGACAUGUCCGUAUGGCGAAGCGACAACGAAGGACACUCACCCGGACGAGAAUUUUAUUGAGUUUUAUUUUAAAAUCGGCCUGAAACACACAGACAUUCAAGCAGUGCGAUGCGCUAAGAGUCUGCCAUGCAGACCAGCGAUCCUGAUAAUGUUGUCGGCCUUGGAUGAUGAGGUCCAGUUACCAGGAGCACUAGUCUGCAGCUUACUGGUUCCGUCCUGCAGCUCCUCCACGCUGUCCUCCUCUCUACAGACCAAAUCAAGAAAAGGGAACCAGGAAGCUGCUGUGGAUCCUCUGCAGUAUCUGGAGAGGUCAGAGGAACGGUUCUUGGAACAGAUCGGAAGACACCAAGACGUGACCUCUGCCAUGCUCCAGAACAUCCAGAAGAUGAAUGAAAACCUUGGUUGCACUGAUGGGACGCAUGGUGUCGGUGCUGGAGCAACUGUCCCAGAAUUAAACUGCAUUGUUGACUAUUGGCUUUUCUAGAAAAUAAAUCUUUUUUAGUACUUCA